This 859-nucleotide ribosomal RNA is filed under the name uncultured bacterium. Its description in RNAcentral is "bacterial SSU rRNA". It matches the Rfam family "Bacterial small subunit ribosomal RNA", at positions 337 to 1183 of the family's 1533-position model. The record is from RNAcentral.
UCCUACGGGAGGCAGCAGUCGAGAAUUUUUCUCAAUGGGGGAAACCCUGAAGGAGCGACGCCGCGUGGAGGAUGAAGGCUUUCGGGUUGUAAACUCCUGUCAUUUGGGAACAAGUUGCACACGUUAACUGCGUGGGCAUUGAUAGUACCAGAAGAGGAAGGGACGGCUAACUCUGUGCCAGCAGCCGCGGUAAUACAGAGGUCCCAAGCGUUGUUCGGAUUCAUUGGGCGUAAAGGGUGCGUAGGUGGCGCUGUAAGUCGGGUGUGAAAUUUCGAGGCUUAACCUCGAAACUGCAUUCGAUACUGCGGUGCUUGAGGACUGGAGAGGAGACUGGAAUUCAUGGUGUAGCAGUGAAAUGCGUAGAGAUCAUGAGGAAGACCAGUGGCGAAGGCGGGUCUCUGGACAGUUCCUGACACUGAGGCACGAAGGCCAGGGGAGCAAACGGGAUUAGAUACCCCGGUAGUCCUGGCAGUAAACGGUGCACGUUUGGUGUGGGAGGAUUCGACCCUUUCCGCGCCGGAGCUAACGCGUUAAACGUGCCGCCUGGGGAGUACGGUCGCAAGAUUAAAACUCAAAGAAAUUGACGGGGGCCCGCACAAGCGGUGGAGUAUGUGGCUUAAUUCGAUGCAACGCGAAGAACCUUACCAGGCCUUGACAUGCAUUUCUAAGCGGGUGAAAGCCCGUGAGUCCCGAAAGGGACAACUUGCACAGGUGCUGCAUGGCUGUCGUCAGCUCGUGUCGUGAGAUGUUGGGUUAAGUCCCGCAACGAGCGCAACCCCUGUGAACUGUUGCCACCGGUCGCAAGACCGAGCACUCUGUUCAGACUGCCCUGUGAAACGGGGAGGAAGGUGGGGACGAC